CCUACGGGCGGCAGCAGUGAGGAAUAUUGGUCAAUGGACGAGAGGCUGAACCAGCCAAGUCGCGUGAGGGAUGACGGCCCUACGGGUUGUAAACCUCUUUUAUCGGGGAGCAAAGUGAGUCACGUGUGACUCAUUGUGAGUACCCGAAGAAAACGCAUCGGCUAACUCCGUGCCAGCAGCCGCGGUAAUACGGAGGAUGCGAGCGUUAUCCGGAUUUAUUGGGUUUAAAGGGUGCGUAGGUGGAUUGUCAAGUCAGUGGUGAAAGUUUGGGGCUUAACCGUGAAAUUGCAGUUGAAACUGGAAGUCUUGAGUACAGUAGAGGUGUGCGGAAUGCGUGGUGUAGCGGUGAAAUGCAUAGAUAUCACGCAGAACUCCGAUUGCGAAGGCAGUUCACUGGCGUGCAACUGACACUGAGGCACGAAAGUGUGGGUAUCAAACAGGAUUAGAUACCCUGGUAGUC
Molecule: ribosomal RNA, 460 nt
Filed under: uncultured bacterium
Lineage: Bacteria
Description: partial 16S ribosomal RNA
Rfam family: Bacterial small subunit ribosomal RNA
Source: RNAcentral